Molecule: non-coding RNA, 67 nt
Filed under: unclassified sequences
Description: RAGATH-18 RNA
Rfam family: RAGATH-18 RNA
About the family: Actinobacteria, Firmicutes, Fusobacteria, Thermotogae (1 example). Nearby to self-cleaving ribozyme genes
Source: Rfam by way of RNAcentral
ACUAUGGAGAGUAUAAGGAACUAUGAGUAGAUACUAAGUAUUGAAAAUAUACUCGUUGAAAUAGUAA